Molecule: transfer RNA, 75 nt
Filed under: Schistocerca americana (American grasshopper)
Lineage: Eukaryota; Metazoa; Arthropoda; Insecta; Orthoptera; Acrididae
Description: tRNA-Pro
Rfam family: tRNA (bases 6-68)
About the family: Transfer RNA (tRNA) molecules are approximately 80 nucleotides in length. Their secondary structure includes four short double-helical elements and three loops (D, anti-codon, and T loops). Further hydrogen bonds mediate the characteristic L-shaped molecular structure. tRNAs have two regions of fundamental functional importance: the anti-codon, which is responsible for specific mRNA codon recognition, and the 3' end, to which the tRNAs corresponding amino acid is attached (by aminoacyl-tRNA synthetases). tRNAs cope with the degeneracy of the genetic code in two manners: having more than one tRNA (with a specific anti-codon) for a particular amino acid; and 'wobble' base-pairing, i.e. permitting non-standard base-pairing at the 3rd anti-codon position.
Source: RNAcentral
GCUUGGGUAGCUCAGUUGGUAGAGCACUUGCCCGCGGAAGGCAAAGGUCCCGAGUUCGAAUCUCGGUCUGGAACA